ACUCCUACGGGAGGCAGCAGUAGGGAAUCUUCCACAAUGGACGAAAGUCUGAUGGAGCAACGCCGCGUGAGUGAAGAAGGGUUUCGGCUCGUAAAAACUCUGUUGUUAAAGAAGAACAUAUCUGAGAGUAACCUGUUCAGGUAUUGACGGUAUUUAACCAGAAAGCCACCGGCUAACUACGUGCCAGCAGCCGCGGUAAUACGUAGGUGGCAAGCGUUGUCCGGAUUUAUUGGGCGUAAAGCGAGCGCAGGCGGUUUUUAAGUCUGAUGUGAAAGCCUUCGGCUCAACCGAAGAAGUGCAUCGGAAACUGGGAAACUUGAGUGCAGAAGAGGACAGUGGAACUCCAUGUGUAGCGGUGAAAUGCGUAGAUAUAUGGAAGAACACCAGUGGCGAAGGCGGCUGUCUGGUCUGUAACUGACGCUGAGGCUCGAAAGUAUGGGUAGCAAACAGGAUUAGAUACCCUGGUAGGA
This 470-nucleotide ribosomal RNA is filed under the name uncultured bacterium. RNAcentral describes it as "bacterial SSU rRNA". It matches the Rfam family "Bacterial small subunit ribosomal RNA", at positions 335 to 795 of the family's 1533-position model. The record is from RNAcentral.